AAGGUGGUGCCGCGGAGAUCCAGCGCCAGGACCUGCGCCCUCGGGUGUGGGUGUUCCUGGCGGACUUGGCGAGGUGGCCGGAGAGGGAGGGUCCGACGGGGCGGGCGCAGAGUCCAUCUUGUGCAGGGCAGCGACCCCACAUCAAAAUCGCCGCGAUUUCCCAAUCAGUCUAGGAAACUGGGGAAAAGAAGCUAAAUGCAGCAGCAGCAGCAUGAAAAUAGUUUAAAAUGGAUGAGUGUGUGGACCUAACGCCAGUCCAAGGUGUUCAACGCAGCCACAUAAGUGUACAAGUAACAUGAAUGAUGGAGAGGGCAGUGGAGUUCUCGAAAGCUGGGAGCCCCAUAUCAGAAACACAGCUACCUACCCAAAUAAAAAUACCAUCUAGGACCUCUAAGGCUGACGCUAGAAGGAAGUAAAAGUUUCUUCUUUCUAGCAGAGCCAGAAUAUUCAAAUGAACUUUGCUAAAGGAUAACCUAAAAGAAUUUUCCACUAUGAGAGCCUGACAUAGUUCAUUCACCUUUAAUAAAUGAAGCAGGGCUUCCCUGGUGGCACAGUGGUUAAGAAUCCACCUGCCAAUGCAGGGGACACAGGUUCGAGCCCUGGUCCAGGAAGAUCCCACAUGCCGGGGAGCAACUAAGCCCGUGCACCACAACUACUGAGCCUGCGCUCUAGAGCCCGCGAGCCACAACUACUGAAGCCCGCACGCCUAGAGCCCAUGCUCCGCAACAAGAGAAGCGCCGCAAUGAGAAGCCCGCACACCACAACGAAGAGUAACCCCUGCUCGACGCAACUAAAGAAAGCCUGCACGCAACAACGAAGACCCAAUGCAGCCAUAAAUAAAUAAAUAUAAUACAUAAAUAAAUUUAUUAAAAAAAUAAAAAAUAAAUGAAGCAGUGAUGCCAAUUCAAAAA
Molecule: long non-coding RNA, 911 nt
Organism: Balaenoptera ricei (Rice's whale)
Lineage: Eukaryota; Metazoa; Chordata; Mammalia; Artiodactyla; Balaenopteridae
Exons: 3
Source: RefSeq, a predicted model, not a curated record